RNAcentral lists this ribosomal RNA (253 nucleotides) under uncultured bacterium. RNAcentral describes it as "partial 16S ribosomal RNA". It matches the Rfam family "Bacterial small subunit ribosomal RNA", at positions 524 to 776 of the family's 1533-position model. The record is from RNAcentral.
UACGUAGGGUGCGAGCGUUAAUCGGAAUUACUGGGCGUAAAGCGUGCGCAGACGGUUUUGUAAGCCAGAUGUGAAAGCCCCGGGCUUAACCUGGGAAUGGCAUUUGGGACUGCAAGGCUUGAGUGCGGCAGAGGAGACUGGAAUUCCUGGUGUAGCAGUGAAAUGCGUAGAUAUCAGGAGGAAUACCGAUGGCGAAGGCAGGUCUCUGGGCUGACACUGACGCUCAUGCACGAAAGCGUGGGGAGCAAACAGG